Molecule: ribosomal RNA, 425 nt
Filed under: uncultured bacterium
Lineage: Bacteria
Description: bacterial SSU rRNA
Rfam family: Bacterial small subunit ribosomal RNA
Source: RNAcentral
GUCGGGAAUUUUGGGCAAUGGGCGAAAGCCUGACCCAGCAACGCCGCGUGAAGGAUGAAGUAUUUCGGUAUGUAAACUUCGAAAGAAUAGGAAGAAUAAAUGACGGUACUAUUUAUAAGGUCCGGCUAACUACGUGCCAGCAGCCGCGGUAAUACGUAGGGACCAAGCGUUGUUCGGAUUUACUGGGCGUAAAGGGCGCGUAGGCGGCAAUUCAAGUCAUCUGUGAAAUCUCCGGGCUUAACUCGGAACGGUCAGAUGAUACUGCUUUGCUAGAGUGCGGAAGGGGCAAUCGGAAUUCUUGGUGUAGCGGUGAAAUGCGUAGAUAUCAAGAGGAACACCUGAGGUGAAGACGGGUUGCUGGGCCGACACUGACGCUGAAGCGCGAAAGCCAGGGGAGCAAACGGGAUUAGAAACCCGGGUAGUCC